GAUGAACGCUGGCGGCGUGCCUAAUACAUGCAAGUCGAGCGAACGGACGAGAAGCUUGCUUCUCUGAUGUUAGCGGCGGACGGGUGAGUAACACGUGGAUAACCUACCUAUAAGACUGGGAUAACUUCGGGAAACCGUAGCUAAUACCGGAUAAUAUUUUGAACCGCAUGGUUCAAAAGUGAAAGACGGUCUUGCUGUCACUUAUAGAUGGAUCCGCGCUGCAUUAGCUAGUUGGUAAGGUAACGGCUUACCAAGGCAACGAUGCAUAGCCGACCUGAGAGGGGAUUGGGCACACUGGAACUGAGACACGGUCCAGACUCCUACGGGAGGCAGCAGUAGGGAAUCUUCCGCAAUGGGCGAAAGCCUGACGGAGCAACGCCGCGUGAGUGAUGAAGGUCUUCGGAUCGUAAAACUCUGUUAUUAGGGAAGAACAUAUGUGUAAGUAACUGUGCACAUCUUGACGGUACCUAAUCAGAAAGCCACGGCUAACUACGU
RNAcentral lists this ribosomal RNA (495 nucleotides) under uncultured bacterium. RNAcentral describes it as "partial 16S ribosomal RNA". It matches the Rfam family "Bacterial small subunit ribosomal RNA", at positions 28 to 506 of the family's 1533-position model. The record is from RNAcentral.